GACGGAGGGGGCUAGCGUUGUUCGGAAUUACUGGGCGUAAAGCGUGCGUAGGCGGCCUUUCAAGUUGGGUGUGAAAGCCCGGGGCUCAACCCCGGAAAUGCGCCCGAGACUGUUUGGCUCGAGACUCGGAGAGGUGAGUGGAACUCCCAGUGUAGAGGUGAAAUUCGUAGAUAUUGGGAAGAACACCAGUGGCGAAGGCGGCUCACUGGACGAGUACUGACGCUGAGGCACGAAAGCGUGGGGAGCAAACAGG
RNAcentral lists this ribosomal RNA (253 nucleotides) under uncultured bacterium. RNAcentral's name for it is "partial 16S ribosomal RNA". It matches the Rfam family "Bacterial small subunit ribosomal RNA", at positions 524 to 776 of the family's 1533-position model. The record is from RNAcentral.